GCCCGGGUGGUGGAAUUGGUAGACACAAGGGACUUAAAAUCCCUCGGAAUUUUUUUUCCGUGCCGGUUCAAGUCCGGCCUCGGGCACCA
This 89-nucleotide transfer RNA is filed under the name Campylobacter coli. RNAcentral's name for it is "tRNA-Leu". It matches the Rfam family "tRNA". Rfam says of the family: Transfer RNA (tRNA) molecules are approximately 80 nucleotides in length. Lineage: Bacteria; Pseudomonadati; Campylobacterota; Epsilonproteobacteria; Campylobacterales; Campylobacteraceae. The record is from RNAcentral. RNAcentral also lists the same sequence under 1 other name.